GUGGCCGUACGAGGAUAGAACGCGUGGGCGGCGUGCUUAACACAUGCAAGUCGAACGGAGUAUUAAGAAUGAAGUUUCGGAUGGAUUUUUAGUACUUAGUGGCGGACGGGUGAGUAACGCGUGGGUAACCUGCCUCACACAGGGGGAUAACAGUUGGAAACGACUGUUAAUACCGCAUAAGACCACAGUACCGCAUGGUACAGGGGUAAAAAACUCCGGUGGUGUGAGAUGGACCCGCGUCUGAUUAGUUAGUUGGCGGGGUAACGGCCCACCAAGACGACGAUCAGUAGCCGAUCUGAGAGGAUGACCGGCCACAUUGGGACUGAGACACGGCCCAAACUCCUACGGGAGGCAGCAGUGGGGAAUAUUGCACAAUGGGGGAAACCCUGAUGCAGCGACGCCGCGUGAGUGAAGAAGUAUUUCGGUAUGUAAAGCUCUAUCAGCAGGGAAGAAGAUGACGGUACCUGAGUAAGAAGCCCCGGCUAACUACGUGCCAGCAGCGGC
RNAcentral lists this ribosomal RNA (504 nucleotides) under uncultured bacterium. RNAcentral describes it as "bacterial SSU rRNA". It matches the Rfam family "Bacterial small subunit ribosomal RNA", at positions 34 to 518 of the family's 1533-position model. The record is from RNAcentral.